AACGCAUAUUGCACUCUCUGGUAUUCCAGAGAGUAUGCCUGUUUCAGUAUCAAUAAUCAUAUUCAAACUUACCUUUUUUGGGAGGUUUGGAGGUGAGCUUUGCCGAUUUUUUUUUUCGGCUGGCUUAAAAUUAAGUCAUGACCUUGGAAACAUGGGAUCUUAAUAAAGCGUAAUAGUUGACCUCUUUUGAGGACAUCUUCGCUUACAAAGGCCCUUCUUGGUGUUGAUUGCAGGAGAAAUACCGGAACAUGAUUUGUUUACGAACUUGAUCUGAAAUCAGGUAGGACUACCCGCUGAACUUAA
This 303-nucleotide unclassified non-coding RNA is filed under the name uncultured fungus. RNAcentral's name for it is "sequence contains ITS2". The stretch from base 1 to 52 matches the Rfam family "5.8S ribosomal RNA", at positions 103 to 154 of the family's 154-position model. Lineage: Eukaryota; Fungi. The record is from RNAcentral.